This 747-nucleotide ribosomal RNA is filed under the name Triticum aestivum (bread wheat). RNAcentral describes it as "partial small subunit ribosomal RNA". Lineage: Eukaryota; Viridiplantae; Streptophyta; Magnoliopsida; Poales; Poaceae. The record is from RNAcentral.
AUGACAGGGGAGAAGGGGGGGAGCAGCAGCAGAUUGGUAAAAGCUGUAAAGCUUUGCACUUUGCAUCAGUACAUGCGAAUUUCAGGAUCAACAUGGUCCAUCCCAAUCCAAGGGCAACGGGUUGAAGAAGCACUUUGCGGCAAAGAAGAAGAAGAAGCACGGCAAGAAGUUAAGCAAGGAAGAACUAGCCUAGUACUAGUAGUAAGUAGGAGUAGCAAACAUCUCAUCAGUAACUCACAUCCUUCCUCGCUAGCUGCUACACAGCAUCCAUGGCGAUGCCAAGUACCAUCCGGUCGGGCCAAGCUAGCCGGGCCGGACGCGCUUCUGUCCGGCGGCGGCGGCGCGGCCGGCGGCAUCGGAGGAGCGCAGCGUGCCCGAGGAGUCGCCCUCCGAGGAGCCGCCGUCCAUGGCGGCGCCACGGUGCGCGAAGGAGGCAGAGAGGUCGGCGUAGAGGCCGACGACGCGGCGGAUGUUGUUGUUGAGCUCCCGGAUGAGGCCGACGUUGCGGGUGAGGCUGUCCGGCGCCCGGGACUCGUGGUUCUGGUUGAUCUCGGAGAUGAGCAUCCGGUUCUGGUCCAGGAUGCUCUGCACCUGUACGAAGCUCUUGUGGAACGUCUGGAUCAGCUUCCCGUCCACCACCUGGUGGUGCCCCCCUCCGCCGCCGCCGCCGCCGCCGCCUCCAUUGCCCAUCCCCGAGAAGCUCUCGCCUUCCAUCCCUUUCUCCCUCUCCAAACUCACUCUUGUUGA